GUCUCUGCAGCUCAGUUGGUAGAGUAUGAGACUCUUAAUCUCAAGGUCAUGGAUUCAAGCCCCAUAUUGGACA
This is a non-coding RNA of Podarcis lilfordi (Lilford's wall lizard), 73 nucleotides long. The record is from the annotation of a GenBank genome assembly. NCBI's taxonomy places the organism in Eukaryota, Metazoa, Chordata, Lepidosauria, Squamata, Lacertidae.